UAGGGGAUAGUUUAGUUUUAAAAUUUUGGUUUUGGGGACCAGGGAUUGGGUGGCUUAGCCCAUCCCCUAA
Molecule: transfer RNA, 70 nt
Filed under: Diodora graeca
Lineage: Eukaryota; Metazoa; Mollusca; Gastropoda; Lepetellida; Fissurellidae
Description: tRNA-Pro
Source: RNAcentral